GACAGAGGGUGCAAACGUUGUUCGGAAUUACUGGGCGUAAAGCGUGUGUAGGCGGCUUUGUAAGUCGGAUGUGAAAGCCCCGGGCUCAACCCGGGAAGUGCACUCGAUACUGCGAAGCUUGAGUACUGGAGAGGUUGGUGGAAUUCUCGGUGUAGAGGUGAAAUUCGUAGAUAUCGAGAGGAACACCGGUGGCGAAGGCGGCCAACUGGACAGAUACUGACGCUGAGACACGAAAGCGUGGGGAGCAAACAGGA
Molecule: ribosomal RNA, 254 nt
Filed under: uncultured bacterium
Lineage: Bacteria
Description: partial 16S ribosomal RNA
Rfam family: Bacterial small subunit ribosomal RNA
Source: RNAcentral